This 75-nucleotide transfer RNA is filed under the name Deltaproteobacteria bacterium. RNAcentral's name for it is "tRNA-Gly". It matches the Rfam family "tRNA". From Rfam's summary of the family: Transfer RNA (tRNA) molecules are approximately 80 nucleotides in length. Their secondary structure includes four short double-helical elements and three loops (D, anti-codon, and T loops). The record is from RNAcentral. RNAcentral also lists the same sequence under 3 other names. Lineage: Bacteria; Pseudomonadati; Myxococcota; Myxococcia.
GCGGGAGUAACUCAGUGGUAGAGUGCCACCUUGCCAAGGUGGACGUCGCGGGUUCAAGUCCCGUCUCCCGCUCCA